This 700-nucleotide long non-coding RNA is filed under the name Physcomitrium patens. RNAcentral's name for it is "long non-coding RNA (PPAT_LNC000247)". The record is from RNAcentral. Lineage: Eukaryota; Viridiplantae; Streptophyta; Bryopsida; Funariales; Funariaceae.
GCUCCAGGAAUAACACUGGGAGCAGCGCCAGUAGGUAGGGUCGGAGGAACUGAAACAAGUAUUGCAUCAUGCCUGUUAAUACAAGGAUUACACAGCUACAGUUUGCUCACUGUUAACACAACAAUGGUACAUCGGCCUCGACAUUUCGUCAGAAACAAGCAACCUUACCAAAGAAUUUAUCCCAUGGCUUACAUUCAAAUUGAUAAAGAGCUCAUAUGAUGCUUGAUCCAUUGAAAGUCUAAAAUCUACGCAUUACAAGUGCGGGUUCGCACCUGUUUGUCCUAUAGUGACGAAGCCUCCUGCUGCUGAAGGCCGAUCUCUGCUGUAGAGGAGCACCGUUGGAUAAUUUGUUGAAAUAUAGAGGUUCUUUGGUUGAAUUUAAUGUGGGAUUAUUGGACAAGGCUCUGGAUCACCAGUAAGAACAGCUCCCCUACAAUUUAAUCGUAACACUUCUGAGAAUUCUCGCCAAGAUAAUAAAUGGAGCAAACCGCACCUCAGUAGAAUAGUCACAUUACUACAAUUAAAUGAACUGGUCUUUCAAUAGAUUAACUUGUAGAGGACUAGGAAGUCACCAACUGUACACCACUUCUUCAUGUUCUACAUUGUGAAGACAGAAUGACCUGCUCACAAAAAUUUCAAUUUGCUGGAGCUGCUAAAAAAUUGCGGGAUCACGCCUGUCAAGCCGCAUCCUGAUAGAUUC